CCUACGGGAGGCAGCAGUAAGGAAUAUUGGUCAAUGGACGAAAGUCUGAACCAGCCAUGCCGCGUGAAGGAUGAAGGCCCUCUGGGUUGUAAACUUCUUUUAUAGGGGACGAAAAAAGGGCAUUCUUGCUCACUUGACGGUACCCUAGGAAUAAGCACCGGCUAACUCCGUGCCAGCAGCCGCGGUAAUACGGAGGGUGCAAGCGUUAUCCGGAUUUACUGGGUUUAAAGGGUGCGUAGGUGGGUUGGUAAGUCAGCGGUGAAAUCUUCGAGCUUAACUCGGAAACUGCCAUUGAUACUAUCAAUCUUGAAUCAUCUAGAGGUAAGCGGAAUAUGUCAUGUAGCGGUGAAAUGCUUAGAUAUGACAUAGAACACCAAUUGCGAAGGCAGCUUACUAUGGAUGUAUUGACACUGAGGCACGAAAGCGUGGGGAUCAAACAGGAUUAGAUACCCUGGUAGUCCACGCCCUAAACCUAUGGAUACUCGACAUUUGCGAUAUACUGUAAGUGUUNUGNGNGAAGANAUAAGUAUCCACCUCGGAGAGAGCGCGAGAGUAGAACGUACAAUAGAGUUAGAGGACGUGAGAGUUGCGACGGACGACGACGAGGGAGGAGG
RNAcentral lists this ribosomal RNA (614 nucleotides) under uncultured bacterium. RNAcentral describes it as "bacterial SSU rRNA". The stretch from base 1 to 535 matches the Rfam family "Bacterial small subunit ribosomal RNA", at positions 338 to 873 of the family's 1533-position model. The record is from RNAcentral.